AGGACCUGCUCGGGGCGUACCUCAUUUGAAGUACUGAGAAGCACCCGUGGAACCUGAUCCGGAUCAUGCCGGCGGAGGGAAGGCAGCAGACUUUUUGU
This 98-nucleotide non-coding RNA is filed under the name bacterium TMED181. RNAcentral describes it as "Bacterium TMED181 TPP sequence". It matches the Rfam family "TPP riboswitch aptamer (THI element)". Rfam says of the family: Vitamin B(1) in its active form thiamin pyrophosphate (TPP) is an essential coenzyme that is synthesised by coupling of pyrimidine and thiazole moieties in bacteria. The previously detected thiamin-regulatory element, thi box was extended, resulting in a new, highly conserved RNA secondary structure, the THI element, which is widely distributed in eubacteria and also occurs in some archaea. The record is from RNAcentral.